This is a long non-coding RNA of Cuculus canorus (common cuckoo), 3985 nucleotides long. RefSeq lists it as uncharacterized. The transcript has 3 exons. NCBI's taxonomy places the organism in Eukaryota, Metazoa, Chordata, Aves, Cuculiformes, Cuculidae. The record is from RefSeq and is a predicted model, not a curated record.
GACCAUGGAUCUAACAUUCAUUGCCCCAAAAAGGCUGCAUUACCUCUCCAGGGAUCUUUUCCCAAGCUCACUCUCCCAGAAAGCUGGAGAAACAGGGGUUGAAGGAUGGGCCCAGCAGUGCUCACAGAGAGCGCUCCUGGUUCCUCCAGCUGCAGCAGGUGCUGCCCCGGGGAUGGGAAUGGGCAGUCCCAGGGAUAUGCAAUCCUGAAGCUGCAGAGCUCUGGAGACACACAACCCCGGAGUUGCAAAGAGACUGAACACAGCAAUAAUGCAACGAGGGGCUGAGAAGCCCAGCCCUGGGCUACCAAACUGGUACCGAAGGGAGCUCACCGGCCCCGGGCAGCCCCGCCUGCCUCGAGCCCCUGGCUUAGCGCUGUAACCAAGACCAGAAGGCACUCGAGAGCAAAGACACAGGGCCGGUUUUUUCAGCCACACAAGAUUUCUUCUCAGAAGUUUUUCUCGCUACAAAAGAAGCCACGGGAGCACUCGGAGUAUCCAUUUUUAUGGAGAGAAUGCCAAAAUAGGACCUCUCGGAGAAACUAUCCCUUUCCCCGUCAGACCGCCACGAAAACGAACAACGGAUAAUUCCUCCCAAACAUCCUUCGAGGAAAAACAAGGGCUGAAAGGCCGGAUCCUGCUGCAGGGGGUGAACGGCCCGGGAGCCCUUUUUCCCGGUGCCUCCGGGAUUCAAGGGUGGGAGAGGAGGAACCGCCUCCGGCAAACUCUCGCGUGUCGGGGCAAAAAUAAAAGGGGGUCCGAGUGUUCCACGGUGGUGGGGAUUAUUUCCUUUUUUUUUUUUUUUGGUUGGUUGGUUUUGUUUUGGUUGGAUUUUUUGUUUGUUUGGCUGGUUGAUUGGCUUUUUAGGAGGGUAUUAUUGGAGUUUUAAAAUUUAUUGAUCGUUACCUGGCAGAUGGCCGGCAUCCCCUUCAGAAGCGGCAGCUCCCUUGGGAACGGGUGGGGACUUUCAGGACAGGGGUGAGACUCGACCCGUCCAGCCCAGGAGAAGAAGCUUUGCCGUCUGGGGAAGCCGCUUUCCCGAUGUUUGGGGACAGAGAGGAAAGACACAGCCACCCACCCCGCAAAGGGCAGCUCGGCUUGGACGAGGACCCCCCCCUCCCGCGGCUUGUCCUUGGGGAAGCUGAUUUCAUGCCUCUCCGGUUGCGGGUCACAGGUUGGGGGGGACACAUCACCGGAGCAGAGGUGAGGGUCAGGGCUCUGUAACUCUACUCGCCCAGGUUCGUCCUCCUACCCGUCUCGGAGCAGCUGACCCUCUCGGAAGGGGCUCUCGAGGGUCCCGCUGCGAGAAGCCCCAGGAGAAGACAACCGGCACCCCCAGGCUGGAGGAACGCUGCCCCAUCUCCGGGGUGCAGGGGCGGGGGGCAUCACUUUUAAGACAAAUAAAGCCCAAACCCUGUCGCAAGUUAAACGUGAACACCCCCCCGACCUGUGCCACACCUCUCCAGGCUCCCCGGCCAAGGGCAGCCCCUGAUCCCUGGAGAUGCGGGGCUCGGAGCCGGCCCCCCUGCCCCCGCCCGGCUCCCCCCUCCCCCGGCGAGCGCAAAGCGAGCCCGGUGACAUCGCAAGAUGGAUCGGAUUUGUACGGCACGCAGGAAGUAUCCGAGAAGUCAGACCUUUAUCUCCUCUGGAAAACAUCGUGAGGACAGACAAGCUGCAAACACCCUGAAAUCCUUGCGGCGGCUUCGUGCUUCCCAGCCAAGCGCUGCUCCCCUUCCCACUGGAGCCGGUGGGAACCCAGGGGAGGUGGAUCGGGCCAAAGCUCCGAGGGAGAGGGCAGGGCAGCCCCGCCGUGUUUAGAGCUUUGUCCUCCGAAGCAGCCCACGCCUCGUGGUGCCUAGAAGUUUAGCAAUCCUGGAGAGAAACAACGAGCGGGUGUGGAAAACAACCCUUGCCUGUAAGGGGCUUGGCUUUUCUGGACGUGAGGGCCAGGCGCAGACCCGAGGGGGCAGCAAGAGCAAACCCAGGGAAGGAGAAGAGCAUCCUCCGCUUUCCACUUGCAGCCAGGAAAAAGCAGCGGCUUUACUGACCCCCAUGUAUCCCCCAGGAGCCCCUGAGUCCCGGCUGGAUGGGUGGGCUGGAGAAGGUGUUUCAGGGCUCUCCACCAGGGACUGUUUCCCUUCACUCUUUUUUGCCUGUUCUUUUAACUCAGUUCUAAUUUCGCACUCACUGGCCUGCAAUUAAAAGCGACCACAGAGGGCAAAAGCAGUGCGGGAGGUGCGGGAUGUUCCUCCCCUCCAGCCCUGCUCCGGGGGCUCUGCCGGUCACCCCGGGCUGAGCAGGACGGGGAGAUGGGUGAACCGGUGUUUUUUGUCCCCCCGGCUCUGCCGCGACGCCUUUUGUAGUCGGAGCCUGACUUCGGCUGGAGAGCACCGGGAAAGGGGGAAACGCGGGGACGGGGGGAGGGAAUGGAUGCUGAGCCUCGACCCGGAAAGUCCGUGAGCUGCUGUAUGUCAGUAACUUAUUCAUCAAUCAGCCGGACACAGAGCAGACCUGGCCUCUCUUUGCGGAGUGUUUGCUUUUUCACCAAUUAUUGCGGCCUUGCAGCUCUUUUUGUUGAUACAGUAGUUCUAAAAAGUGCUAAUGUUCAUUUAUCAGGGGGCCGAGCCCGGGACUCCCACUAGUUGCGAUUCUUCCAAAAAUAUAAACACGAAGAGAAGGGCUAAGGCUAAAGCCCCCAUUUGUUUCUAAACUGCAGUAUUAAAAGUGAUGCAUUGUUGAAGAUAAAGCGGAGAUAACGCUGUCUGUCUCCAAUGAAUGUCUCCCCGACGCAUUAAUGACAUUCCAAAUGAUAGCUCCGGCUUAUCGUUCAAUUAAUCACUUCCACCCUCUGCAGCCGGGCCCACAUCGAUCGGGAGCCGCCGUGGGAUUGGGGGGCUGCAGGAAACCCGUCGAUCCUCAAUUGGGAGCCGGCAGCUCCCCUCCCGGUGCCCGCAGAGCCCUCUGGCCCGGGAUGCGCUCCGGGGUCACGGGGAAGAGGGGAGCCCCUGGGGCAAGGAACCGCCUUGCCACAUCCGAGCUUAACCCGGGAAAACAAUUUUGUGCCCGGGAUGGAGGAAGGGAGCGCUGGACUCCGUUUCUCCCGUCCCCAGGGGAGGCGAGCCUGCGGGUCUGGAUAUGGGGGGCAAGGAUCGGGGUUAUUUCGUUACUUCGGUAUUUAUCUGAUUAGCUAGUAAUAAAAUGGAGGAAACGAAGUUGGAGCAGAGGGCAAAGGGUACAGCAGACACUCGGCAAAGUCCUGCCGCAGGUCGCCCUCCCGAAGCCGGGCUGCCUCCACCUUCCCCGAACGCUUCGCCCUUCUCCUGCCACCGAGGAAAAUCCCCUCCGAGCCCAUUCCCGGGGAAGCACAGCCCCGAAGAGGGAGAUGGCCUCUUGGUCGCCCCCUCCCUCAUUAAACAGCAAUAUUUCAGGCCUCUCCGUAGGCAGUAAUCGCUCCAGGAACCGCCGCAAGAUUCGGACCCGGUUCGCGCACAAAACCUCUCGCAGCGCUCCAGCAGAAGGGGCUGCGGAGAGGGACACGGGCCCCGGAGAGAGGAGCGGGGUCACAGCAUCGCCCGCGGCACAGCCGUGACCGAAUCCCCCGGCAGAGAGCCCGAGAGCGCCGGGACACAAAAACCCGGCGCGGGGGGAGCGGGGGCAGCAGAAGGGGUUCGGGAAAGAGCAGCCCGGAGAGUGCAGGUGCCCCCGUUUGUCCCGCUCCCCGGAGGGUCUCCUGCUUCUGCGGGAGGGGAGAGGAAUUGCAAAACUCCUCCAUCCGAGGAAGCCGUCAACUCACCGCAUGCCCGCACCGCAUGCUCGGCUCCCCGAGCCGCCCGGAGCCGGCACCUCUGCACCGAAGAAGUUGCUAGAGGGGAUUUACUUUAUUUUCCUUUCCCCCCCCUGAAGUGAGAAAGGGCCCUAACGCCCCUCCUCAACCUGCGACUUGGCCUCUGAGGUUUAUUUUAGUGUCUCCAAGGGCGUUACGCGAAGA